CUCAUUUUGAAACUUAAAAGAACUCGUUCCUCGGAGCUCAGUAAGGACGAUAUCAAGGACAUAAGAAGAGGAUUAUUAUUAUUAUUCUGCAAUCAAGGUACUGCUGGGGACGAUGGUACUGCGUAGUGGCAAGGAUUACCACCUUAUUAAAUCAUCUAGUAAUAGUGCUACUUACUUGUAAGGUUGACUUAACUAGAAUGUAAGACCAUAUGCUUUAAUAUAAGUUAUCGUGUUAUGUCAAGUAAA
This is a long non-coding RNA of Beta vulgaris subsp. vulgaris (sugar beet), 246 nucleotides long. RefSeq lists it as uncharacterized. Lineage: Eukaryota; Viridiplantae; Streptophyta; Magnoliopsida; Caryophyllales; Amaranthaceae. The transcript is spliced from 2 exons. The record is from RefSeq and is a predicted model, not a curated record.